UUCGGUUUUGUAUAUCUACAGCUGCCUUUUUCAAGUAUUGGUCCUUUCACUUUACAUUGCUCGGAAUCAUUGGGUGAAUGUGGUGACGCUUGGGUCUUGGUCAAAGGGUGGUCAGCAGAAGUCAAAAUACUCAGUCCGCUUACCGAGUUGUACAAUGCGAUUUAGUUACGAAACAGCCACGAGGAAAGGUAUAAUCGCACACUCGACCAACAAAUUAGUUACACAACCAUAAAUCUGUCGUUCAGUAUUACCAAUAUUGUCAUUAAAUAACAUCUUCUACUUCAAUGCUUUCUUUCAAAGGAAGUCCGUACUGGAUGGCACCCGAGGUUGUAAUGAAUACAAGUGGUUAUAGUCUUGCGGUUCCCUCAAGACACAGUGGCAAAAUGACAUUUGACCCGUGGUAUGAAGUUCCGCAGGUCAAACUACACCCACUAGAACCCCAAGAUCAUGGAUCGUUUGAUUAGGGUCCAGUGACCAAUAGACCUGCUAGAUCACUGGUCAAUCCAGUGUCAAGUAUAUUGGGCAGAGGUUGUAGGGAAUUAUUCGUUUCUGUGAUGCACUGUAAAUAAAACCUACUAGAAAAGAACUUUUAAUAGUGCACAUUUCUUAAAGACUUGAAGUGAAUUGGUCUACUUGCUAAAAUACGUCAUGUACUUUAACCUUUCAAACAAUUGUUAUUUUACUAAGCCAAAGAAUUGUUAUUAUAGCAAGCCAUGUGCAUAUCUGUGUUGUAAGUAAUAUCGAUUUUAUAUUAUGAUUUUUUAAAAUUACAACGUUAGCGCGUCGCCACUAAG
Molecule: long non-coding RNA, 794 nt
Organism: Helianthus annuus (common sunflower)
Lineage: Eukaryota; Viridiplantae; Streptophyta; Magnoliopsida; Asterales; Asteraceae
Exons: 3
Source: RefSeq, a predicted model, not a curated record